UACGUAGGGUCCGAGCGUUGUCCGGAAUUAUUGGGCGUAAAGGGCUCGUAGGCGGUUUGUCGCGUCGUUCGUGAAAACUCACAGCUUAACUGUGAGCUUGCGGUCGGUACGGGCAGGCUAGAGUUCGGUAGGGGAGACUGGAAUUCCUGGUGUAGCGGUGAAAUGCGUAGAGAUCCGGAAGAACACCGGUGGCGAAGGCGGUCUGCUGGGGUAAUGCUGACACUGAUGCGCGACAGCGUGGGGAGCAAACAGG
Molecule: ribosomal RNA, 253 nt
Filed under: uncultured bacterium
Lineage: Bacteria
Description: partial 16S ribosomal RNA
Rfam family: Bacterial small subunit ribosomal RNA
Source: RNAcentral